This 377-nucleotide unclassified non-coding RNA is filed under the name plant metagenome. RNAcentral describes it as "partial contains 5.8S ribosomal RNA, internal transcribed spacer 2, and large subunit ribosomal RNA". The stretch from base 1 to 104 matches the Rfam family "5.8S ribosomal RNA", at positions 51 to 154 of the family's 154-position model. The record is from RNAcentral.
AAAUGCGAUAAGUAAUGUGAAUUGCAGAAUUCAGUGAAUCAUCGAAUCUUUGAACGCACCUUGCGCUCCUUGGUAUUCCUUGGAGCAUGCCUGUUUGAGUAUCAUGAAAUCUUCAAAGUAAAUCUUUUGUUAACUCAAUUGGUUUCUACUUUGGUAUUGGAGGUCUUUGCAGCUUCACACCUGCUCCUCUUUGUUCAUUAGCUGGAUCUCAGUGUUAUGCUUGGUUCCACUCGGCGUGAUAAGUUAUCUAUCGCUGAGGACACUGUAAAAGGUGGCCAAGGUAAAUGCAGAUGAACCGCUUCUAAUAGUCCAUUGACUUGGACAAUACUUUUCUGAUCUGAUCUCAAAUCAGGUAGGACUACCCGCUGAACUUAAGC